RNAcentral lists this ribosomal RNA (609 nucleotides) under Enterobacter hormaechei. Its description in RNAcentral is "bacterial SSU rRNA". It matches the Rfam family "Bacterial small subunit ribosomal RNA", at positions 555 to 1165 of the family's 1533-position model. Lineage: Bacteria; Pseudomonadati; Pseudomonadota; Gammaproteobacteria; Enterobacterales; Enterobacteriaceae. The record is from RNAcentral.
UGGGCGUAAGCGCACGCAGGCGGUCUGUCAAGUCGGAUGUGAAAUCCCCGGGCUCAACCUGGGAACUGCAUUCGAAACUGGCAGGCUAGAGUCUUGUAGAGGGGGGUAGAAUUCCAGGUGUAGCGGUGAAAUGCGUAGAGAUCUGGAGGAAUACCGGUGGCGAAGGCGGCCCCCUGGACAAAGACUGACGCUCAGGUGCGAAAGCGUGGGGAGCAAACAGGAUUAGAUACCCUGGUAGUCCACGCCGUAAACGAUGUCGACUUGGAGGUUGUGCCCUUGAGGCGUGGCUUCCGGAGCUAACGCGUUAAGUCGACCGCCUGGGGAGUACGGCCGCAAGGUUAAAACUCAAAUGAAUUGACGGGGGCCCGCACAAGCGGUGGAGCAUGUGGUUUAAUUCGAUGCAACGCGAAGAACCUUACCUACUCUUGACAUCCAGAGAACUUACCAGAGAUGCUUUGGUGCCUUCGGGAACUCUGAGACAGGUGCUGCAUGGCUGUCGUCAGCUCGUGUUGUGAAAUGUUGGGUUAAGUCCCCGCACGAGCGCACCCCUUAUCCUUUGUUGCCAGCGGUUAGGCCGGGGACUCAAAGGAGACUGCCAGUGAUAAACUG